CGAGCCCUACGGGAGGCAGCAGUGGGGGAUAUUGGACAAUGGGGGAGACCCUGAUCCAGCGAUGCCGCGUGAGGGAAGAAGGUUUUCGGAUUGUAAACCUCUGUGGAGGGGGACGAUAAUGACGGUACCCCUUUAGGAAGCCACGGCUAACUACGUGCCAGCAGCCGCGGUAAUACGUAGGUGGCGAGCGUUGUCCGGAAUUACUGGGUGUAAAGGGAGUGUAGGCGGGAAAGCAAGUCAGAAGUGAAAACUAUGGGCUUAACCCAUAGCCUGCUUUUGAAACCGUUUUUCUUUAGUGAAGUAGG
This 305-nucleotide ribosomal RNA is filed under the name uncultured bacterium. RNAcentral's name for it is "bacterial SSU rRNA". It matches the Rfam family "Bacterial small subunit ribosomal RNA", at positions 333 to 655 of the family's 1533-position model. The record is from RNAcentral.